GCCAGAGGAGUAGCUCAGUUGGUACACAAUGAGACUCUUAAUAUUAGGGUCAUGGGUUCAAGCCCCAUGUUGGGCA
Molecule: non-coding RNA, 76 nt
Organism: Podarcis lilfordi (Lilford's wall lizard)
Lineage: Eukaryota; Metazoa; Chordata; Lepidosauria; Squamata; Lacertidae
Source: the annotation of a GenBank genome assembly